GCUCAACCAAUGAGAUGAUUUCUGUCUGGAGAGCAAAAAGUUUGAGGAUAUAAAAGCACAACCUGGUGAAUCUGCUGCAGUGGAAGAACAUUGUUCAUGUGCUGUCUGUCUGUCUUCAGCAGCUCCAAAGACAUGUUGCUGCAACUCUUUUUGUUUUCAUCUCACUUCAUAGGACUAACAGCUGGAGACUCAAUCACUCCUCAACGAGAUAAAGUCACUGCAACAGAAGGAGAAUCUGUCAAACUCACAUGUAGCUAUGAGACAACUUCAAGUUAUCCUCUACUUCACUGGUACAGACAUCAUUCUGACCUUCAGGCUCCUCAGUUUAUACUCUGGAAAGGAGGGAGACAGCAGACAGGUCAAUAUAUUCCUGAUAAACGUUAUAAAUCAGAAACAUCUUCUACAUCAACUAAUCUGAGCAUAGCAGCCCUAACCCUGGCAGACACAGCUCUCUACUACUGUGCUCUAGAAACACAGUGAUACAAAGUGUAGAAGAGGCUGUACAAAAACCUGAACACAGAUAUCUGACUACUCUUCAAAGAGGAGGGAAGUGGUAUUCAAAGCACAGCUUCAUAUCAGAUGGAUUCUGCUAAUUCCUGUUUUAUCAGAGUCACUGUGGUUACAGCUGCUAAUGAAACACUGUGGGAGGAUUCACAUGAGCAGCAAAUCCACAUCAACCACAAACCAACUGCAGGAACGUUCAGACACAA
Molecule: long non-coding RNA, 710 nt
Organism: Haplochromis burtoni (Burton's mouthbrooder)
Lineage: Eukaryota; Metazoa; Chordata; Actinopteri; Cichliformes; Cichlidae
Exons: 2
Source: RefSeq, a predicted model, not a curated record